This 468-nucleotide ribosomal RNA is filed under the name uncultured bacterium. RNAcentral describes it as "partial 16S ribosomal RNA". It matches the Rfam family "Bacterial small subunit ribosomal RNA", at positions 28 to 507 of the family's 1533-position model. The record is from RNAcentral.
GACGAACGCUGGCGGCGUGCUUAACACAUGCAAGUCGAACGGAAAGGCCCUGCUUUUGUGGGGUGCUCGAGUGGCGAACGGGUGAGUAACACGUGAGUAACCUGCCCUUGACUUUGGGAUAACUUCAGGAAACCGGGGCUAAUACCGGAUAAGAGCUCCUGCUGCAUGGUGGGGGUUGGAAAGUUUCGGCGGUUGGGGAUGGACUCGCGGCUUAUCAGCUUGUUGGUGGGGUAGUGGCUUACCAAGGCUUUGACGGGUAGCCGGCCUGAGAGGGUGAACGGCGACAUGGGGACUGAGAGACGGCCCAGACGCCUACGGGAGGCAGCAGUGGGGAGUAUGGCACAAUGGGCGGAAGCCUGAUGCAGCAGCGCCGCGUGCGGAAUGACGGCCUUCGGGUUGUAAACCGCUUUAGGCUGUGACGAAGCGUGAGUGACGGUAAUGGGUAAAGAAGCACCGGCUAACUACGUG